CCUACGGGUGGCAGCAGUGGGGGAUAUUGCACAAUGGGCGGAACCCUGAUGCAGCGACGCCGCGUGGGUGAAGAAGCGCCUCGGCGCGUAAAGCCCUUUCAGCAGGGAAGAAAAUGACGGUACCUUAAGAAGAAGCCCCGUCUCACUACGUGCCAGCAGCCGCCGUAAUACGUAGGGGGCAAACGUUAUCCGGAUUUACUGGGGGUAAAGGGGGCGCAGACGGUGAUGCAAGCCCGGAGUGAAAGCCCGGGGCCCAACCCCGGGACUGCUCUUGGAACUGCGUGGCUGGAGUGCAGGAGGGGUAGGCGGAAUUCCUGGUGUAGCGGUGAAAUGCGUAGAUAUCAGGAGGAACACCGGUGGCGAAGGCGGCCUGCUGGACUGAAACUGACGUUGAGGCCCGAAAGCGUGGGGAGCAAACAGGAUUAGAUACCCUAGUAGUC
This 440-nucleotide ribosomal RNA is filed under the name uncultured bacterium. RNAcentral's name for it is "partial 16S ribosomal RNA". It matches the Rfam family "Bacterial small subunit ribosomal RNA", at positions 338 to 795 of the family's 1533-position model. The record is from RNAcentral.